Olea europaea var. sylvestris is the source of this 1510-nucleotide RNA transcript. RefSeq lists it as uncharacterized. NCBI's taxonomy places the organism in Eukaryota, Viridiplantae, Streptophyta, Magnoliopsida, Lamiales, Oleaceae. The record is from RefSeq and is a predicted model, not a curated record. The transcript has 4 exons.
AUGAAUUGUAAAUUAAAUGCAUUAAUAAGCAAUUUCAGUUGAAGCCAUGUAAUUGUUGAACUCACAAUCCAUUAGAGUAAUGGGCGACUUUUCAAUAGAGAAGAUCCUAAUAUCGGGAGUCACUUUAGCCUCCCUACUCCACCGCUCAUCCGCCUCCUCCGGCGACCUUCACGGCUUUCUCUUUGGCCAUGUUGUCUUCUCCGACUCCACUCCCCUCUCCGACGACGACGCCACCGCCACCACCGGCCCAUCUCUCACCGCUACCAUCACCUCUUUCAUCUCCCUCCCCUCCCACCUCCCCCUCCCGCUACCGAUCACUCUAUCCUCCUCUUCUAACCUCCUCGGCUGGUUCUCCUCCCGCCGUAAAACCCCUCUCCGUCCCUCACUCAGAGACUCCUUAACCACCCUUUCUCUUUCCUCUUCCUCUUCCUCUUCUCUCACCUUCACUCCACACAACUCCACUGCCUUACACCCACCAUCUCUGUUUCUUCUCUUAACCACACCGCUUCAAGAUAAGUUAAUCCACACCCAUGAGUAUAAAACCUAUGAGUACUGCAUUCCCAGCAAAACCUUUGAGCCCAAGAGCUUGAAUAUUAUUAACAUUGGUCCAUCUUUUCGAUCCCAUUACGAUUCUUUCAGCCCCAAUGUUCCGUUCCCAUUGAUCAACUGCGACUUGAGAGGCUCUAAUGCGAUGGUGGAGGAUGAAGAGUGUGAGACUUUGGAGGCCAUAAGGAGGGCUUUGAAAAAUCAGAAGAAGUUGGAUAUGUGUGCAGAGGGGUUUGAAAUUGGGAGGAUGAGUAAACUAGUGGGCUCUGAGGCCGCAAAUUACAUGGGUGAGUUGGAGGAUUUGUAUGAUAAAAUGCUUUGCAAGAUUGAUGCACUGUCAAAAUUGGUGGAGCAGACCUCUGCUAAGGUUGUUGGUCAGGAGAAUCAUAAUAUGAAAUUGAGGUACAAGGUUGCUGGCAUAGACUAAUUUUGCUGAUGAUUCCAUGGUUUUUUUCCCGAUUUUUGAGUUAUAGAGAAAUUGAAUUGGAAGCUUGGCUGCUCCUCUCUUCAUUAUUACGACAUGAAAGGCAAUGACCAGUAGACAUGUGCAUUCGAGGGGGACUUUACUCUGUUGAACUUAAGUUUUCAUUGGUUCGUUUAUGUAGAGAAAAAGGAUGUAACUUGUGUCAUUUAUGGCCACAAUUUUCAUUUUACGUAUAGUUUCUGUUACUGUGUAGAUCCUGGAAGCGUGAAAGGUGCGUGAACUCGAUGACUUGAUAAGAUAAAGAGAGAGAGUGAUACUGUUUUUGCUGCUUGUUGGGAUUUUAGAUGAUUUUGCGGCGGACGACUCUCCUUGGACCUCAACAACGUAAACUGCCUGUUAUUGUAAUUUAUUUGUACUGGCCUUGUUCUCUUAUGUACAUAUUACCCCUUCCUUUUGUUGUAUACUAUGAAGAAUCUUGACUUUUGGGACCAAAGAGAAAGGAACUGAAAAAUGUGUUAUGGUCUUAUUUUCUUCUCUGUA